Apodemus sylvaticus (European woodmouse) is the source of this 814-nucleotide long non-coding RNA. RefSeq lists it as uncharacterized. The transcript is spliced from 6 exons. Lineage: Eukaryota; Metazoa; Chordata; Mammalia; Rodentia; Muridae. The record is from RefSeq and is a predicted model, not a curated record.
CCCUUCUCUGUUGAGCGCAGGCCGGUGACUUUCCUGUCUCCCCCUCUGUAGCACUGGGGUUUCAAACCCCAGUGUCCCCAUGCCUGGUGUGAGCUGUCUUUUCGUCUUGACUGUCAGACUGGAUUGAGUUACACAGGCUGAGCCAUACACACUAAUUGAAAGAGGAAGGCUUGCCCUGCUUAGGCUCUCUGGGAACUGCUCUUAUUCUCUGGUGGGUAUUUAGGGCCAGUGUGGAGGUUGGCACGGCAGCAAGAGCAAAUAUGCAUGUGGAGUAUUUUUUCAAAAUUCUUUGAUUGUCUGGAAUUGUAAAACUGAAAUGAGAGAAAUCUAGUCAUUGUUACAUGAAGGAAUAAUGGCUGGCAGCUGGCUAGCAGGGGCAGAAGUCAUUCCUUUGUUCCCAGCUAACAUGUGCAUGUGUGCAUCAGGCCUUCAUCCUACCUAACAUGUGCAUGUGUGCAUCAGGCCUUCAUCCCAGCUAACAUGUGCAUGUGUGUAUCAGGCCUUCAUCCUACCUAACAUGUGCAUGUGUGCAUCAGGCCUUCAUCCCAGCUAACAUGUGCAUGUGUGCAUCAGGCCUUCAUCCCAGCUAACAUGUGCAUGUGUGCAUCAGGCCUUCAUCCCAGCUAACAUGUGCAUGUGUGCAUCAGGUCUUCAUCCACACUAACAUGUGCAUGUGUGCAUCAGGCCUUCAUCCCAGCUAACAUGUGCAUGUGUGCAUCAGGCCUUCAUCCACACUAACAUGUGCAUGUGUGCAUCAGGUCUUCAUCCACACUAACAUGUGCAUGUGUGCAUCAGGCCUUCAUCCCACCUAACA